GCAUGCAGGGGAGACUCCCUGCCACAAGAAUAACAAGUUUGUGGAGCAUAUUUUACAGCUGAAAUGCUUCAAGAUUCUUCAUGACCUAACACUGGUGGCCAAGCUAAACCACAUGAAGAGUAUUCUCCUUUGAGUCCAUUUGCACCCUCCAGACCAGAGCCACUACCACAGUCUUGGAUUACUUUGCCCAGCCUGAAGGUAGUAAUGACCGCUGUUGAGUGGUUUGGAAGACUAUCCUGAUCUCCAGGUGAAUGAGGAUGGCCUCUACAAUGAACUCAGUGUUGUAAAAGCGUUAUAAGAGAGACAAUCCCACCCUGAAGAACUUGCAC
This 329-nucleotide long non-coding RNA is filed under the name Struthio camelus australis. RNAcentral's name for it is "lncRNA (ENSSCUG00000008643.1)". Lineage: Eukaryota; Metazoa; Chordata; Aves; Struthioniformes; Struthionidae. The record is from RNAcentral.